RNAcentral lists this ribosomal RNA (468 nucleotides) under uncultured bacterium. Its description in RNAcentral is "partial 16S ribosomal RNA". It matches the Rfam family "Bacterial small subunit ribosomal RNA", at positions 28 to 507 of the family's 1533-position model. The record is from RNAcentral.
GACGAACGCUGGCGGCGUGCUUAACACAUGCAAGUCGAACGGAAAGGCCCUGCUUUUGUGGGGUGCUCGAGUGGCGAACGGGUGAGCAACACGUGAGUAACCUGCCCUUGACUUUGGGAUAACUUCAGGAAACUGGGGCUAAUACCGGAUAGGAGCUCCUGCUGCAUGGUGGGGGUUGGAAAGUUUCGGCGGUUGGGGAUGGACUCGCGGCUUAUCAGCUUGUUGGUGGGGUAGUGGCUUACCAAGGCUUUGACGGGUAGCCGGCCUGAGAGGGUGACCGGCCACAUUGGGACUGAGAUACGGCCCAGACUCCUACGGGAGGCAGCAGUGGGGAAUAUUGCACAAUGGGCGGAAGCCUGAUGCAGCGACGCCGCGUGCGGGAUGACGGCCUUCGGGUUGUAAACCGCUUUCGCCUGUGACGAAGCGUGAGUGACGGUAAUGGGUAAAGAAGCACCGGCUAACUACGUG